This 1343-nucleotide ribosomal RNA is filed under the name uncultured bacterium. RNAcentral describes it as "16S ribosomal RNA". It matches the Rfam family "Bacterial small subunit ribosomal RNA", at positions 28 to 1378 of the family's 1533-position model. The record is from RNAcentral.
GACGAACGCUGGCGGCGUGCUUAACACAUGCAAGUCGAACGGAAAGGCCCUGCUUUUGUGGGGUGCUCGAGUGGCGAACGGGUGAGUAACACGUGAGUAACCUGCCCUUGACUUUGGGAUAACUUCAGGAAACUGGGGCUAAUACCGGAUAGGAGCUCCUGCUGCAUGGUGGGGGUUGGAAAGUUUCGGCGGUUGGGGAUGGACUCGCGGCUUAUCAGCUUGUUGGUGGGGUAGUGGCUUACCAAGGCUUUGACGGGUAGCCGGCCUGAGAGGGUGACCGGCCACAUUGGGACUGAGAUACGGCCCAGACUCCUACGGGAGGCAGCAGUGGGGAAUAUUGCACAAUGGGCGGAAGCCUGAUGCAGCAACGCCGCGUGCGGGAUGACGGCCUUCGGGUUGUAAACCGCUUUCGCCUGUGACGAAGCGUGAGUGACGGUAAUGGGUAAAGAAGCACCGGCUAACUACGUGCCAGCAGCCGCGGUGAUACGUAGGGUGCGAGCGUUGUCCGGAUUUAUUGGGCGUAAAGGGCUCGUAGGUGGUUGAUCGCGUCGGAAGUGUAAUCUUGGGGCUUAACCCUGAGCGUGCUUUCGAUACGGGUUGACUUGAGGAAGGUAGGGGAGAAUGGAAUUCCUGGUGGAGCGGUGGAAUGCGCAGAUAUCAGGAGGAACACCAGUGGCGAAGGCGGUUCUCUGGGCCUUUCCUGACGCUGAGGAGCGAAAGCGUGGGGAGCGAACAGGCUUAGAUACCCUGGUAGUCCACGCUGUAAACGGUGGGUACUAGGUGUGGGGUCCAUUCCACGGGUUCCGUGCCGUAGCUAACGCUUUAAGUACCCCGCCUGGGGAGUACGGCCGCAAGGCUAAAACUCAAAGGAAUUGACGGGGCCCCGCACAAGCGGCGGAGCAUGCGGAUUAAUUCGAUGCAACGCGUAGAACCUUACCUGGGUUUGACAUGGAUCGGGAGUGCUCAGAGAUGGGUGUGCCUCUUUUGGGGUCGGUUCACAGGUGGUGCAUGCCUGUCGUCAGCUCGUGUCGUGAGAUGUUGGGUUAAGUCCCGCAACGAGCGCAACCCUUGUUCACUGUUGCCAGCACGUUAUGGUGGGGACUCAGUGGAGACCGCCGGGGUCAACUCGGAGGAAGGUGGGGAUGACGUCAAGUCAUCAUGCCCCUUAUGUCCAGGGCUUCACGCAUGCUACAAUGGCUGGUACAGAGAGUGGCGAGCCUGUGAGGGUGAGCGAAUCUCGGAAAGCCGGUCUCGGUUCGGAUUGGGGUCUGCAGCUCGACCUCAUGAAGUCGGAGUCGCUAGUAAUCGCAGAUCAGCAACGCUGCGGUGAAUACGUUCCCGGG